CCCAAAAUGUGAUCAUAAGUGAAGAUAAAUGGAUUACUUGAGUGCUAAGACAAGAGGGACAUGCUCUUCUAUUUUAUGUGUCCAUCUUGACCUUUCUGAAAAAAUAAGAAUAUUGUAAUUAGCAUUCUAUGUUUGAAUCUGAGGCUCCCUAUUUAUAAGCUGUGUGAUAUUGGGAGAGUUACCUGACUUCUCUGAACCUCAAUUUUAUCAUUUGGAAAACACAAUAAAUAUACCAUAUUGUAAAGGUCUUGUUAGGAUUGAUCGUGGUGACUCGGUAAAUAAAGCUCCUAGUGUAAUGCCUGGCCCUCAUCAUCAUGUUGAUCAUUACUAUCACUGUGUUUCUGAAAUGUCACUGAAACAUGUCUUUUAUAGGUGGAACAUAAAUAAUGAUACCUGGGUCAUAACUGAGCAACUAAAACCUUUAACAGUGAAUUUGGACUUCCAAAGAAACAACAAAACUGUCUUCAAGGCUUCAAGCUUUGCUGGCUAUGUGGGCAUGUUAACAGGAUUCAAACCAGUAAGGAGUCUGUUGUUACAUAAUUAUACAGGUAGCCUUUUGUCCUAUUACUGUUACGUAAAAGUUGAAAUCUAAGAAUAUGAGGACCUAAAGGGAAUAUGAAGCCCCAUUUCACCCCCUUGUACUUCUUGUCACUUCAUAGGUAUGAGAUCUCGUGGUAGAGAAGAGUAGAAAGGAAACGGAGGUUUCUGAGCCUGUUCUGGGAUAAAGAGCAUGUGGCCGGGUGUCAAGGGCUGGGAGUCACAAUCUGAUUUCUAGUCCUAGGUCUUCCGCUCACUUAGGCAAGUCAGGCGUUCAUUCCCUGCCCUUCAGUUUCCUGUCCAAAAAGCGUUGCCAGUGAUACCCCACCUACUUAUCUCACAUACUAGAAUAAAAAAUGCUUUGAACUUUUUAAAAAGCCUUUUAUGGUUUUGAUUUAUUUUUGCCUUCCCCAUUACCAAAGCUAGGCCUUUAUAUCCCACUCUGAAGUACAGUGAGCGACAGGGCCUUAAAGCGCAUGGUUGAUGUUUCUGACUUCGUUGCUUUGUCUUUUUCUCAGGGACUGUUCAGUCUUUCACUGAAUGAACGUUUCAGUAUAAAUGGUGGUUAUCUGGGUAUUCUAGAAUGGAUUCUGGGAAAGAAAGAUGCCAUGUGGAUAGGGUUCCUCACUAGAACAGUUCUGGAAAAUAGCACAAGUUAUGAAGAAGCCAAGAAUUUAUUGACCAAGACCAAGAUAUUGGCCCCAGCCUACUUUAUCCUGGGAGGCAACCAGUCUGGGGAAGGUUGUGUGAUUACACGAGACAGAAAGGAAUCAUUGGAUGUAUAUGAACUCGAUGCUAAGCAGGGUAGAUGGUAUGUGGUACAAACAAAUUAUGACCGUUGGAAACAUCCCUUCUUCCUUGAUGAUCGCAGAACGCCUGCAAAGAUGUGUCUGAACCGCACCAGCCAAGAGAAUAUCUCAUUUGAAACCAUGUAUGAUGUCCUGUCAACAAAACCUGUCCUCAACAAGCUGACCGUAUACACAACCUUGAUAGAUGUUACCAAAGGUCAAUUCGAAACUUACCUGCGGGACUGCCCUGACCCUUGUAUAGGUUGGUGAGCACACGUCUGGCCUACAGAAUGCGGCCUCUGAGACAUGAAGACACCAUCUCCAUGUGACCGAACACUGCAGCUGUCUGACCUUCCAAAGACUAAGACUCGCGGCAGGUUCUCUUUGAGUCAAAAGCUUGUCUUCGUCCAUCUGUUGACAAAUGACAGACCUUUUUUUUUUCCCCCUAUCAGUUGAUUUUUCUUAUUUACAGAUAACUUCUUUAGGGGAAGUAAAACAGUCAUCUAGAAUUCAUUGAGUUUUGUUUCACUUUGACAUUUGGGGAUCUGGUGGGCAGUCGAACCAUGGUGAACUCCACCUCCGUGGAAUAAAUGGAGAUUCAGCGUGGGUGUUGAAUCCAGCACGUCUGUAUGAGUAACGGGACAGUAAACACUCCACAUUCUUCAGUUUUUCACUUCUACCUACAUAUUUGUAUGUUUUUCUGUAUAACAGCCUUUUCCUUCUGGUUCUAACUGCUCUUAAAAUUAAUAUAUCAUUAUCUUUGCUGUUAUUGACAGUGAUAUAAUUUUAUUACAUAUGAUUAGAGGGAUGAGACAGACAUUCACCUGUAUAUUUCUUUUAAUGGGCACAAAAUGGGCCCUUGCCUCUAAAUAGCACGUUUUGGGGUUCAAGAAGUAAUCAGUAUGCAAAGCAAUCUUUUAUACAAUAAUUGAAGUGUUCCCUUUUUCAUAAUUACUCUACUUCCCAGUAACCCUAAGGAAGUUGCUAACUUAAAAAACCGCAUCCCAGGUUCUGUUAAUUUAGUAAAUAAACAAGUCAAAGACUUGUGGAAAAUAGGAAGUGAACCCAUAUUUUAAAUUCUCAUAAGUAGCAUUCAUGUAAUAAACAGGUUUUUAGUUUGUUCUUCAGAUUGAUAGAUAGUUUUAAAGAAAUUUUAGUAGUUACUAAAAUUAUGUUACUUUAUUUUUCAGAAAUCAAACUGCUUAUGAAAAGUACUAAUAGAACUUGUUAACCUUUCUAACCUUCACGAUUAACUGUGAAAUGUACGUCAUUUGUGCAAGACCGUUUGUCCACUUCAUUUU
This 2626-nucleotide small RNA is filed under the name Pan troglodytes (chimpanzee). RNAcentral's name for it is "retained intron". The record is from RNAcentral. Lineage: Eukaryota; Metazoa; Chordata; Mammalia; Primates; Hominidae.